Molecule: ribosomal RNA, 696 nt
Filed under: uncultured bacterium
Lineage: Bacteria
Description: bacterial SSU rRNA
Rfam family: Bacterial small subunit ribosomal RNA
Source: RNAcentral
UAACACGUGAGCAACCUGGCUCUAAGAGGGGGACAACAGUUGGAAACGACUGCUAAUACCGCAUAACGUAUCGGGAUGGCAUCUUCCUGAUACCAAAGAUUUUAUCGCUUAGAGAUGGGCUCGCGUCUGAUUAGAUAGUUGGCGGGGUAACGGCCCACCAAGUCGACGAUCAGUAGCCGGACUGAGAGGUUGAACGGCCACAUUGGGACUGAGACACGGCCCAGACUCCUACGGGAGGCAGCAGUGGGGGAUAUUGGACAAUGGGGGCAACCCUGAUCCAGCGACGCCGCGUGAGGGAAGAAGGUUUUCGGAUUGUAAACCUCUGUUGACGGAGAAAAAAAUGAUGGUAUCCGUUUAGAAAGCCACGGCUAACUACGUGCCAGCAGCCGCGGUAAUACGUAGGUGGCAAGUGUUGUCCGGAAUUACUGGGUGUAAAGGGAGUGUAGGCGGGAUGUCAAGUCAGAAGUGAAAAUUACGGGCUCAACUCGUAACCUGCUUUUGAAACUGACAUUCUUGAGUGAAGUAGAGGCAAGCGGAAUUCCUAGUGUAGCGGUGAAAUGCGUAGAUAUUAGGAGGAACACCAGUGGCGAAGGCGGCUUGCUGGGCUUUUACUGACGCUGAGGCUCGAAAGCGUGGGGGAGCAAACAGGAUUAGAUACCCUGGUAGUCCACGCCGUAAACGAUGAUUACUAGGUGU